UGGAGUGUAGCUCAAGUGGUAGAGCGCUUGCCUAGAUAUGUGUGAAGCCUUGGGUUCAAUUCCUAGCACUGCAA
This 74-nucleotide transfer RNA is filed under the name Ictidomys tridecemlineatus (thirteen-lined ground squirrel). RNAcentral describes it as "Spermophilus tridecemlineatus (thirteen-lined ground squirrel) tRNA". It matches the Rfam family "tRNA". From Rfam's summary of the family: Transfer RNA (tRNA) molecules are approximately 80 nucleotides in length. Their secondary structure includes four short double-helical elements and three loops (D, anti-codon, and T loops). The record is from Rfam by way of RNAcentral. Lineage: Eukaryota; Metazoa; Chordata; Mammalia; Rodentia; Sciuridae.